UACGGAGGGGGCUAGCGUUGUUCGGAAUUACUGGGCGUAAAGCGCACGUAGGCGGCUUUGUAAGUUAGAGGUGAAAGCCCCGAGCUCAACUUGGGAAUUGCAGUGGAUACUGGCAGGCUGGAGUACGGUAGAGGAAGGUGGAAUUCCCGGUGUAGCAGUGAAAUGCGUAGAUAUCGGGAGGAACACCAGUGGCGAAGGCGGCCUUCUGGACCAGUACUGACGCUCAUGCACGAAAGCGUGGGGAGCAAACAGG
Molecule: ribosomal RNA, 253 nt
Filed under: uncultured bacterium
Lineage: Bacteria
Description: partial 16S ribosomal RNA
Rfam family: Bacterial small subunit ribosomal RNA
Source: RNAcentral